Frankliniella occidentalis (western flower thrips) is the source of this 555-nucleotide long non-coding RNA. RefSeq lists it as uncharacterized. Lineage: Eukaryota; Metazoa; Arthropoda; Insecta; Thysanoptera; Thripidae. The record is from RefSeq and is a predicted model, not a curated record. The transcript is spliced from 4 exons.
ACCGCCAUCCAGCCGAUGUCGCCGUCCGUCCCGCCAUCUCCUUCAUUGCUCGGAAAUAACAAGAGCACCGAAGGAAAAAGACAAAGGCAAAGAGGAUUAGUUCAAUUUCCGUAGUCGUGUGGUAUAUAUCUUUGACUGAGAAAAAAGAAGGAAUACAGUUAAACUACAAAGCAAUAAUAAAUGUAAGACCACAGCGGAAGAGAGUUCGAUAAAUGGUAUUAAUGAGCUAGUAGCAACAUAACUUACCCCUCCUCCUCUAAAACGUUGUGUCGUGCACAAUUUUUGAGUAGGGUGCCAAAUAUUAAAAUCAACAAACCAGUUCAACAAUUGUUGAACAAAUGUCCAAGAGGAGCCUCAUCAUGUAAAAUCGAUCUCCUUCUUCUUCAGGGAUACUUUGUUUGAGUGAAGAAUAUUCAGUAUCACUUGGCGCAAGGCCUCCAGUAACUAGGGAUGCAGCAAAUGGUGAAACAAAUGCAAUUUCACUUAGGAUACCAAGACUUCUUCGCAUUUCAACCCCAUAUUCUUCUUUGUACCACUGCCUGUAGAAAAAUUCUU